Molecule: small RNA, 375 nt
Filed under: Histoplasma capsulatum var. duboisii H88
Lineage: Eukaryota; Fungi; Ascomycota; Eurotiomycetes; Onygenales; Ajellomycetaceae
Description: Histoplasma capsulatum H88 hypothetical RNA
Source: RNAcentral
AGCCAUCGAACAGGAAUUUGAAAGGUUGAAGCUGUUGAAGCGCUCUGCCGUUUAGGAGCUCUUCCGGCAACGAAAAUGAUUUUGCUUCUGUUUACUAAGUCUCAACAUACAUUAUCGAAUGUUGAAGCUCAUAAAUGUUACCAUCGGCGAUUUUCUGCAGACGCCAACGACACGGAAUCUGGGAUCCAUGAGCAUCAGCUCCAUCAUGGGAUUUUUGGAUAGCUAGUUACGCAGGCAUGAUCUCAUAACUAGCUGGCCUUGCAGUAACCCUAGCCCUCAGGCCUGCGCAGAAACCCCGCACAUUGCAUCAUCCAGCAGAAACGCGCAGACGCAGUAGAUUUUUGAAGAUGAUUGCUGUUAUUCUUCGUUGGGCAU